Molecule: long non-coding RNA, 1139 nt
Filed under: Marmota monax (woodchuck)
Lineage: Eukaryota; Metazoa; Chordata; Mammalia; Rodentia; Sciuridae
Source: RNAcentral
CAGGCUAAAAAUACCUCCUGAUUGCACUACUGAAUUAAACCAUCAUGCAUAUUUGUUUCUCCAAAGCACCUUUGACAAACAUGAUCUGGUGAGCAUUUAACUGACAUUUUCCAUGAUAUAUGGUAAAAUAUUCUUCUGUGGGAGAUUUUUCUCUGUUUCCUUAGCAAUGUGAUACUUAUGUUUGUAGCCCAAACUGUUUAAUCUCUCCAAGUGGAACUAGCAAAAAUAUUUUCUACUUUUACUUUCAUUGUUUUCUUGGGGAUGAAAAAGUGUAGUUUCUGAUAGAUUCAUUAUUAUAUUUUUAUAGUUUUGAUGAAAUGUAAAAUUUCUUAUUGUUAAUUCACAUUUUUAGAGGCAAGUCUUUCAUGGACUAUGGGGUUUUUGUGUUUGAGAAUUAUUCUCUCAGAUAUCUAAACAUUAUGUAUACUUCCUUGUGUUUUGUCAGGAUAGAGACUGUGCUUUGUCACCUGAUGAACUUAAGGAUUUAUUCAAAGUUUUCCCUUAUAUACCUUGGGGACCAGAUGUGAAUAACACAGUUUGUACAAAUGAAAAAGGCUGGAUAACCUAUCAGGGAUUCCUUUCCCAGUGGACGUGAGUAUAGAGCUCACUUCUUUCCUCUAGAACCACCACUAGUUUAAAAUUGUGGUAUAUUAUAUUCAUCAUUUUGUAAGCUUGUCAGAGCCUAUGAAAUUCUUCAAUCAUAACUGUUUCUUAAGCAGGAUUUGUAGUGCUGCUGGGAUUAUAAACACUUUUUAGAUUUAUCUGGAAGCGAUUAUUUUCUUUUGGAUGAUGUACUAGGAAACAGUAAUCUAAGUCUUACAUCAAAAAUGAACUUUAUUUUAAUACUUUUUUGUUUGAUUAAGAAAAUUGGGGCUGGGGUUGUGGCUCAGUGAUAGAGCACUUACCUGGCAUAUGUGAGGCACUGGUUUCGAUUCUCAGCACCGCAUAUAAAUAAAUGAAUAAAAAUAAAGAUUCAUCAAAACUAAAAAUAUAUAUAAGUUUUUUUUUAAAAAAAGAAGUUUGGAGGGCUGGGGUUGUGGCUCAGUGGUAGAGCACUUGCCUAGCAUGUGUGAGGCACAUGUGGGUUUGAUCCUCAGCACUGUAUGUAAAUAAAUAAUUAAAAUAAAGGUCCAUCAACA